GCCGCCGUAGACCAACGGCAGAGUCAGUAGUUCGAGAAGCUAUCAAGUGCCGGUUCGAAUCCGGCCGGCGGCA
RNAcentral lists this transfer RNA (73 nucleotides) under Kofleriaceae bacterium. It matches the Rfam family "tRNA". Rfam says of the family: Transfer RNA (tRNA) molecules are approximately 80 nucleotides in length. Lineage: Bacteria; Pseudomonadati; Myxococcota; Haliangiales; Kofleriaceae. RNAcentral also lists the same sequence under 1 other name. The record is from Rfam by way of RNAcentral.